GGGUCAGUAGGUUGGUCGUGCCACCGGUACGUACUGGUCUCACUGAUUCCUCCUCCCUGAAGAACCGUAAUGCCAUUAAUUUGGUGUUGCGGGGAAACAGGACUGUUACUUUGAAAAAAUUAGAGUGUUUAAAGCAAGCUAACGCCUGAAUACAUUAGCAUGGAAUAAUGAAAUAGGACGAUCGAUCCUGUUUUGUUGGUUUCUAGGAUUGACGUA
This 216-nucleotide ribosomal RNA is filed under the name Glomeromycotina sp. Its description in RNAcentral is "partial small subunit ribosomal RNA". The stretch from base 75 to 216 matches the Rfam family "Eukaryotic small subunit ribosomal RNA", at positions 721 to 864 of the family's 1831-position model. Lineage: Eukaryota; Fungi; Glomeromycota. The record is from RNAcentral.